AACCGGGGCCGCAUUCUCUCUCACCCGUCCAUUUCUCCCCUCUCGUGCGCUAGGGUUUCACUGCCGGGAGGUGGCUCCGGCCCGCGCCUGUUGUGCGCCGCCGGCGAGGCGGCUCGGACCCCACCCGUUGCCCAUGGGAGCAUAGUGGGUGGCGGAGCUCCGCUUGGGGCCAAGCGCGGCGGGCGACGACGGUGGGAGGCGGAGCUCCGCACGGAUCAGCCCCGCACCCAGCCCGGCCUCAUGCGGCGAAGCGAGGCGGCGCGAUGGUGGACAGCGGCUUCCAUCAGUGGGCGCCAUGGCGGAAUCCUGCGCGCCGAGGGGACCAGCGAUGGCGGAGGCCUCACGAGUCAGAUCGGGGGGCAGGGUCCUGUUAAGAAUCUCAUGGUUCUAAGAAUUGCGUGGCUACCCUUCGGGUUCUAGCGGCAGGUGACUUCGUCGACGCUGUGGACUGUCUCAGCCGUGCGCACUCAAGAUCAGGUUAGGGUUCCCCCCACCACGCAACUCCUCCGAUUGAUUGUCUGAAGCGAGCAGAUGGCUUAGUUCUGUACUAAUAAGGUGCUUGCUGCUGAUUCAGAAGCCUUGGCGCAUCUUUUGGUUGAACCAUGGGCCAAGCUACUCCAUUCUGUUCAGCAGAAAAGGGGCUACUCUCAUGAUAUAGCUUCACUGAUGUCGUUUGGGAAGAGUUUGCUUCCACGUGCGGCGGCUGAUGUAUCCCCUAUUACUGAUGUCACUACAAUAAAGGACCCACGAGUCUUUGUAAGGUUUGAUAUUUUUGCUGUUUACCACAUAUUUUAACAUUUUAUUUAGCAUGUGAGAGUGGGAUGGUUAAACAAUAUAUUCCCCCCUGCAGCAAGCUGGUUAAAGUUUUACUUUUCAUGUGUACAUAUGGUUUGAAAUUUGGAUUGCUCCAUUUUAUAUAACUUAGGCAAAUUACUGUACUUAGAUAAGCAAAGUAUUAUUGUUAGUUAGGCAAUGUACUGUUAUUACUCAGGCAAAGUAUUAUUUUUCAGUUAGGCGUAUUACUGUGUUGUUUAGGUUAACAUAACUUUUCUUAGUAGGCAAUCAUGCAUUUUUUUCACACACAAAACAUCCCUUGUGUGCGAUGCAACUCAGAUUUGGGGUCACGGUUAUGAUAAUCAGUUCUUAUAAUGCAAAUGCUUAUUUAGGUAUUUCUAUUAUAUGAUGCAUGUAUUUCUUUUUUAAAAAACAACUGAAACUACUCGUAACAGGCAUCUAAAAUGCUUAACUGAUAUAAUUAAAAUGUGUACUUAACAUUAUCUAAAAUGCUUAUGAUGUGGUGCUUUUGAUAUCAUUUAAAGAAAUUUCCUUUUUGUUCAACAACUCAUCAAGUACUGAUAUUAGUAUAGGUAAUUGACCAGUACUGACAAUCUGGUACUGAUCUUAUCUAGUAUUGAUAAUUUUUCAAGUAUAACCUGUGUCCGUAUAGAGUAAAAGACGGCGAAUGAUAUUGUUUCCUAUAUUCUCUUAGUGAUGAAUUACUCAUGUCAUCUUCUUCUGUUGCUGUUGCAGCCCAUAUGAAUCUACAUGUCUUCAUCUUUAAUAUUUUGUUGUUUUGCUGCUCUUCCCUGCAGAAACACAAAGAUGCAUCGAAAAUUUUUAUGUAGGCAACUUAUACUAGAUCAACAAGCAAUUUAUCCAUUGUGGUUCAGCAUGUGGUUCCAAUUUUUUAGCAAUUUUUCAUAUUCUAGUGAGUUUUGCCAUAAAACUUUAAUUAAGUUCUGGACUACCUCAUCACAAUAUCACAUAAUUUCUGUAGGCUAUUCUUUUGUUAAAAAAUAAGGACAAGGAAUUCUAUCUCUGAAAUGUCAUUUUUUGCAUUAAAUUUGUGUGCUCAUUUUAGUCUUUGCUUCUUUUCUCGUGUAUCUUUGUGUGCCAAUCUAGCCUACAAGAUGUUGACUGUUAGAUGUCGAUUGCCCCCCUCAUGCUUCACUCUCUGAAUUUUUCAAUAGAUGUGUGCUAUCCCUGGUUAAUGCUGAUUGUUUCUCAUUUUCCUAAUUAUGCAGAAGUAAUGUUCUCAUUUAGGUGAAUUAUUACUGUCAGGCAAAAGUUUAUCUCUGUAUAGGCAAAGUAGUAUUCUUAGUUAGGUAAAAUAAAGUGUUGAAUUUCUUAGACCACAGUUACCUGAUUGUGUUUAUUAUUUUAGUAGUAAUUUUAGGCAAAGUAUUAUUUGAAGUUAGGCAAAGUAAAGUGUUGAAUUUCUUGAACUGCUUGUUACCUGAUUGUUUACUUCAUUAGGUCAUAUAGAAUUAGCAACAUUUGUUACUAGAUGUAAUCUGCCUUGGUGAUGUUUUACACUUGCUACUAACUGAUCUUACUAUUCUUUCACUAAUCAUGCUUCUGUCCCAUAAAAUAGUGUUUUAGAACCUGAUGUGCCUUUCUUUUCUGCCUGCAAGUUGUCCUGAGUGGAUAAGCACUAUAACAUGCUCUUCAGCUCCAUUUGUUUGGUGGUCUAAAAGUUCAUCAGAUCAUCAUCGGCAGCAGUGAAGUUGCAACUAAACCUCGAUUUGAUUCAUGCGCAGCUUUGUAGUUGUAGUUCCAAUCUUUUGUUUGGUGUGUACAACAAUGGAGGCAAUCAUGACUCGAAUGCUGGUAGUUUGAAACUUUGUGAAUGUUUAUAAUUUAGAUGGGUGAAAAUGUUUUACCAUAUGUUCUAAUUUUCUUACAGUUUGUCGAAGAUUUGUUUGUGAGAUCCUAAAAGUUGCUUUUUAUUGUACAUAUUGAGUUGAAUUACUAGUAAAAAAUUGUAGAAA
This is a long non-coding RNA of Setaria italica (foxtail millet), 2771 nucleotides long. RefSeq lists it as uncharacterized. NCBI's taxonomy places the organism in Eukaryota, Viridiplantae, Streptophyta, Magnoliopsida, Poales, Poaceae. The transcript has 3 exons. The record is from RefSeq and is a predicted model, not a curated record.